Meriones unguiculatus (Mongolian gerbil) is the source of this 839-nucleotide long non-coding RNA. RefSeq lists it as uncharacterized. The record is from RefSeq and is a predicted model, not a curated record. NCBI's taxonomy places the organism in Eukaryota, Metazoa, Chordata, Mammalia, Rodentia, Muridae. The transcript has 4 exons.
CAGCCCUUUGCGGUGGAAGGGUGGCCAGGGCCUCCCUCCUCUGGCAGGGAGAUCUGUUUUCUUUCUUGAUCCUCUCUGCUGUUAGCACGAGGGUAUUGUUUGUUUGUUGGGGAGACCCUGUAUUCUGGUCGGGCCUGAGCUCAUUACAUGACCCAUUCUGGCUCUGAGCAAUCCUUCCUCAUCUCCUGGGUGCUAGAAUGACUCAUGUGACCUCUGUGCUGGACAGCGCUAGAGCACCGGGGUUCAAUUCCCAGCACCCACAAGGUGGUUCACAACCAUCCUUAAUCCAUUUCCAGAGGAUCCACUUCUGACCUCCACAGACACCAGGCGUGCCUGGGGAACACGCAGAACCACAAAUACCCCGAGAGAGUUUCAUUGUGGUCUACAUUCUGGAACACCUUUGAGGACCACAGCUGGUGACGUCUGAGCGGUUGACAGCGCGUCCCUCGUUUGGUUAAUCCUUCUCCACGGUGAGAAGACUCCGGCUUUGAGGUCUUGACGGGAUUACGUUUUGUUGUUUUUUUGUUUUGUUUUAGUGCUGGGAAUUGAACCUAGAGACUGGGUGUCAGGCAAACGCUCCGCCACUGAGCUACGUUGCCGUUCUUGCUUCUUUGAAGGACAGUCUCGCCUGGAGUUUGUGCUCUUCCUGCCAGCGCCCGAGGAGUGACGGAAUCUCAGGUGUGUGCUGCACACACCUGCUAUUUUGCAAGUAGAUUUAGGCUGUUUCCAGCUGGUGCAUGACGUCAGCCUUAUCCCAUUGUUCGUGAUGUUAAGUUAGAUUCACGAUUGUGGUAGAAUCUAGUUGCUGUCACUCUAUAAUUUUCUGUUUUGUAAUAAAA